RNAcentral lists this non-coding RNA (160 nucleotides) under bovine gut metagenome. The record is from RNAcentral.
UUCGCGAGGGUGCGGGCGAAGGAAGUCAGAGGCGAAACCCGGAGGACACGAACAGGAAGCGGAUACAAGGCCUUCUCGCGGGCAAGCCAGCCAUGGAUGGCGAAGCCCCAACCCUAACCGUAGCGAGGUGGUAAAUCCGCGUCCCGCCGGGCGAAAGACA